CAAGAAGCCGAAAGGCUACUUAAAACCAUCGCGAACUUAUCCAAGUUGCUUCGGCGGCGCGGCUCCCCUCACGGGGGACCGCAGCCCCCGCCUCUCAGGAGGUAAGGGGGCAGCCGCCGGAGGUACGAAACUCUGUAUUAUAGUGGUAUCUCUGAGUAUAAAAACAAAUAAGUUUA
Molecule: unclassified non-coding RNA, 176 nt
Filed under: soil metagenome
Description: partial internal transcribed spacer 1
Source: RNAcentral